RNAcentral lists this ribosomal RNA (329 nucleotides) under Cardinium endosymbiont of Anyphaenidae sp. RNAcentral describes it as "bacterial SSU rRNA". It matches the Rfam family "Bacterial small subunit ribosomal RNA", at positions 269 to 595 of the family's 1533-position model. Lineage: Bacteria; Pseudomonadati; Bacteroidota; Cytophagia; Cytophagales; Amoebophilaceae. The record is from RNAcentral.
CAAGGCUACGAUGGGUAGGGGUUCUUAGUGGAAGGUCCCCCACACUGGCACUGAGAUACGAGCCAGACUCCUACGGGAGGCAGCAGUAGGSAAUAUUGGUCAAUGGGCGCAAGCCUGAACCAGCCAUGCCGCGUGCAGGRUGAAGGCUCUAUGAGUUGUAAACUGCUUUUGUACAGGAGCAAAAAAAUCCCUGCGGGGGUUCUUGAGAGUACUGUAAGAAUACGCACCGGCUAAUUCCGUGCCAGCAGCCGCGGUAAUACGGGAGGUGCAAGCGUUAUCCGGUUUUAUUGGGUUUAAAGGGUGCGUAGGCGGCUUAUUAAGUCAGUUGU